RNAcentral lists this ribosomal RNA (778 nucleotides) under Parabacteroides distasonis. Its description in RNAcentral is "bacterial SSU rRNA". It matches the Rfam family "Bacterial small subunit ribosomal RNA", at positions 149 to 912 of the family's 1533-position model. The record is from RNAcentral. Lineage: Bacteria; Pseudomonadati; Bacteroidota; Bacteroidia; Bacteroidales; Tannerellaceae.
CUUGGAAACAGGUGCUAAUACCGUAUAACAAUCGAAACCGCAUGGUUUUGAUUUGAAAGGCGCUUUCGGGUGUCGCUGAUGGAUGGACCCGCGGUGCAUUAGCUAGUUGGUGAGGUAACGGCUCACCAAGGCCACGAUGCAUAGCCGACCUGAGAGGGUGAUCGGCCACAUUGGGACUGAGACACGGCCCAAACUCCUACGGGAGGCAGCAGUAGGGAAUCUUCGGCAAUGGACGAAAGUCUGACCGAGCAACGCCGCGUGAGUGAAGAAGGUUUUCGGAUCGUAAAACUCUGUUGUUAGAGAAGAACAAGGAUGAGAGUAACUGUUCAUCCCUUGACGGUAUCUAACCAGAAAGCCACGGCUAACUACGUGCCAGCAGCCGCGGUAAUACGUAGGUGGCAAGCGUUGUCCGGAUUUAUUGGGCGUAAAGCGAGCGCAGGCGGUUUCUUAAGUCUGAUGUGAAAGCCCCCGGCUCAACCGGGGAGGGUCAUUGGAAACUGGGAGACUUGAGUGCAGAAGAGGAGAGUGGAAUUCCAUGUGUAGCGGUGAAAUGCGUAGAUAUAUGGAGGAACACCAGUGGCGAAGGCGGCUCUCUGGUCUGUAACUGACGCUGAGGCUCGAAAGCGUGGGGAUCAAACAGGAUUAGAUACCCUGGUAGUCCACGCCGUAAACGAUGAGUGCUAAGUGUUGGAGGGUUUCCGCCCUUCAGUGCUGCAGCUAACGCAUUAAGCACUCCGCCUGGGGAGUACGACCGCAAGGUUGAAACUCAAAGGAAUUG